UCACCCCCCAUGUCACAAGCUCGUGGAAAUUCUGCCAUCCUUCAAGACCCCCUCCAAAUGCUAGCUACUUCCUGCAUACAGUCUUUCCUGAUCCCAUCCCUCCUGCUUUAGGUGUUCCUCCUCUUCUGAAGCUCCAGAAUUUGUCUUUUCUGCCUAAGAAUCCCUCAGGUUUCAACAGCUGGAGAUAUCAAGCCGUAAGGACCGCAGCUGACGGGCACCGCGGAAGAAGGCGGCUGAGGAGAGGCAACUAUGCACCCAGACCAGGCCUGAGGGUGCCUGAAGUCCUGCAAAGAGUUUUCACAGGCCACGCAGGGGCUGUUAUCUGGGAACAAAGCGGGACAGGGUAUUCAGGAGCCAAAGCUGGAAAGGAUCCAGUGAAGCAGGAGUGAGCGUGGUGGGAGCUCGCCUGCCUGUGAUUCCUCCUCCAAGGGCAUACACAACGCCUGGAAAUCUGGUUUAUCCAACAUUUUCAUAUUUUCCCCCAGGCUUUCUAAACCCUCAACUCCUCUGCGGGAAACACCAUCAAACUAAGGUUGAUGCACCACUAACUCAAGUGGAAUGCUGUGGUCAUCAAGGCCCUGAUCUUGACCAUGAGCUCCUUAAGAAUAAGUCGUAUCUGUAGCAAGAUCUCCCUCUAUCACAGUGUCUAGCACCAACUACAUACACACAUAUAGAUGAUUGGUGUUUCUAGUUUAUCCGCUUAUAUUUUUCCCACCUCACCAACCUGGCUGGUAGAACCUUCCAGAUCUCAACUUAGAUGAGAGCAAAAUAAGAAAGUUUUUGUUGUUGUUUUAAAGAUAUGUUUUUUUUAAUAAUAAGACAAAGGCAUGGAUAAGUUAACUGCUUGAUGAAGAUGAUGAAAUAAAAAAGCAGAACGAU
Bubalus bubalis (water buffalo) is the source of this 879-nucleotide long non-coding RNA. RefSeq lists it as uncharacterized. The record is from RefSeq and is a predicted model, not a curated record. NCBI's taxonomy places the organism in Eukaryota, Metazoa, Chordata, Mammalia, Artiodactyla, Bovidae. The transcript has 3 exons.